UCCGCAAUGGACGAAAGUGUGACGGAGACAACGCCGCGUGAACGAAGAAGGUGCUUCGGAGGUAAAGUUCUGUGAUUCGGGACGAAAGGGUUUGUGGUGAAUAAUCAUAGACAUUGACGGUACCGAAAAAGCAAGCCACGGCUAACUACGUGCCAGCAGCCGCGGUAAUACGUAGGUGGCAAGCGUUGUCCGGAAUUAUUGGGCGUAAAGCGCGCGCAGGCGGCUUCUUAAGUCCAUCUUAAAAGCGUGGGGCUCAACCCCAUGAGGGGGAUGGAAACUGGGAAGCUGGAGUAUCGGAGAGGAAAGUGGAAUUCCUAGUGUAGCGGUGAAAUGCGUAGAGAUUAGGAAGAACACCGGUGGCGAAGGCGACUUUCUAGACGAAAACUGACGCUGAGGCGCGAAAGCGUGGGGAGCAAACAGGAUUAGAUACCCUGGUAGUCCACGCCGUAAACGAUGGAUACUAGGUGUAGGAGGUAUCGACCCCUCCUGUGCCGGAGUUAACGCAAUAAGUAUCCCGCCUGGGAAGUACGAUCGCAAGAUUAAAACC
Molecule: ribosomal RNA, 547 nt
Filed under: Dialister pneumosintes
Lineage: Bacteria; Bacillati; Bacillota; Negativicutes; Veillonellales; Veillonellaceae
Description: bacterial SSU rRNA
Rfam family: Bacterial small subunit ribosomal RNA
Source: RNAcentral